This 254-nucleotide ribosomal RNA is filed under the name uncultured bacterium. RNAcentral describes it as "partial 16S ribosomal RNA". It matches the Rfam family "Bacterial small subunit ribosomal RNA", at positions 524 to 776 of the family's 1533-position model. The record is from RNAcentral.
UACGGAGGGGACUAGCGUUGUUCGGAAUUACUGGGCGUAAAGCGCACGUAGUCGGCUUUGCAAGUCGGGUGUGAAAUCCCCGGGCUCAACCUGGGAACUGCAUCCGAGACUGCAUUGCUAGAGUAUGGGAGAGGGAAGCGGAAUUUCUGGUGUAGCAGUGAAAUGCGUAGAUAUCAGAAGGAACAUCAGUGGCGAAGGCGGCUUCCUGGACCAAUACUGACGAUCAGGUGCGAAAGCGUGGGGGAGCAAACAGG